GUUCUUGGUGCCCGCCCCCCUUGUGAGGUCACAGGCCAAUCUAACCGAUUGGCUUCCCACCUGUCCGUUGGGCUCCGGCUGGAGUGAGCACAUGGCCACAUCCAAGCUGUAAAUCCGGGGGAUAAUCCGGGCUGGGUGUGGUGCGUGGUGCGCGUGAAAUUUCCAGCACAGCAUCAGCUGCCUUCGAUGCCGCCUGGCAGGGCCAUCCCGGGGGUGGGCUGGGCAGAGAGACCCCCGGGAGGGUUCGGAGGGACCCUGACCCCAAGGCAGGGGCAGAGACCACCGGGGUGGGGAUACUGUGGGGUGCUUGGUCAGCUGGCUGUGGGCCGCCCUGGCUCAGAGGGGAAUUUCAGGGGGAGGGAGGCUGAAAGAGCAACCACGGGGCUGGAGGGUCUGCUCCUCAUACUCAGUGACCCCCUACAACCGCCCCCCGAAUCCGAGUGAGGAACAGCUGCCCCAGAGGCAGGGAGGGGUCGACUCAGCCCCUGCCUCACAUCCCUCCUCCAGCGGCCCACGAGAAACCGAGCCACUGCGGCUCCUGGACUGCUGGCCCCGGUCUGUCCCAAACCACCUCUACAUCCUGCAGCUUCAUACACACGAGCCUGCGGACUCCGCCCCCACUCCUACAUCCAGUCGGCCCCACCGCCCACCCUGGGCCAGAAGAGCCUGUCUUACCUGCAUAUUUUCCUUCUUCCCUCCUGCAGGUACCAAGCAAGCUUUGGAGAGCAUGACAGAUCCACACCAGAGAGCGGCCGCCCUUCCUUCCGCGCUCCCUCCGGGCAGGAGGCCGCUCUGGAUGAGCCGCUCCUUGGGAGAAAUGUCCUGGCAGCUGAGGGUGGACAACAGGCCCAGGAAGCACUCCGGGGCCUUGCCCACGUCGAUCCCACCCUCGCGGGCCAAGCCCACUCCGGUCCCACCCCCCCCAGGCCCCACCCCCAAACCCCCCAUCCCCUCCCUCGCCCCCCCCGUCGCCCCCACCCCCACCCUCACCCCCCUCACCCUCAGAGACCCCACCCACGCCGCCACAUGCCCAGCCGGAGCCCUCCGGCUCGGGCCUAGUUCCGGCCCAGGCGGCCUCUCUCCGAGACCAGGCCCCGCCUCUGCCCCCAAAGUUCAGUUUUGUGAGGUUCUUCAAGUGGAAAUGGAAGGCCCCCAAGGAGGCUACUGAGAGACCCCCAGAGGUCCCCUCCCAACAGCCGGGGACCCCACCGGAGGGGUCUCCCCCGGGUUCCCCCGUCCCGGAGCCGGAGGGCAAGGGGUCGCCCGUGCGCGCCUGCCCCUCGGACCCCUCGGACCCCGGCAGCCCGGAGCCCCAGCCCCCCAGGCCCAAGCCCAGAGGGUGGCCGGUCCCGACCUUGCUCAGACGCUUCCUGAAGAAGCGUCGCUCCGGCCCCAGGCCCGGUCACGCGGAGCCCCCCGGUUCCCCCGCGGCAGCCCUGGCCCCACCGGUCUCCCCCGAGCAAGACGACAGACCCCCUGCCCUCCCCCCGGAGAGACCUCCGCCCCCCAAGGCCGCCUCCAGCCCCUGGAUCAUCGAGAAGACGCUGGCGAACCAACUGCGGGUCGUGCGAGUGGAGUGGCCCCCCCAGGACCCCGAGGUGCCACCGCAGGAGCCGGCCCCGCCCCCCGCCGAGGGCACCCGCACCAUCCCGUUGGUGAGCUUCGCCGGGCGGCCGUGGGGCCAGAGGGGGGAGGGUUGGGGGCUGGGGGGCCGGGCCGCCUUC
RNAcentral lists this long non-coding RNA (1724 nucleotides) under Ornithorhynchus anatinus (platypus). Its description in RNAcentral is "lncRNA (ENSOANG00000048553.1)". The record is from RNAcentral. Lineage: Eukaryota; Metazoa; Chordata; Mammalia; Monotremata; Ornithorhynchidae.